This 288-nucleotide ribosomal RNA is filed under the name uncultured bacterium. RNAcentral describes it as "partial 16S ribosomal RNA". It matches the Rfam family "Bacterial small subunit ribosomal RNA", at positions 775 to 1067 of the family's 1533-position model. The record is from RNAcentral.
GGAUUAGAUACCCUGGUAGUCCACGCCGUAAACGAUGCAUACUAGGUGUUGGCUCUUCGGGGUCAGUGCUGCAGUUAACGCAUUAAGUAUGCCACCUGGGGAGUACGUCGGCAACGAUGAAACUCAAAGGAAUUGACGGGGGCCCGCACAAGCGGUGGAGCAUGUGGCUUAAUUCGAUGCAACGCGAGGAACCUUACCUGGGCUAAAUCCACAGUGCUACCUCUGGAAACAGAGGGUUCCUUCGGGACGCUAUGGAAGGUGCUGCAUGGCUGUCGUCAGCUCGUGCCG